GGCCUAACACAUGCAAGUCGAGCGGAAACGACACUAACAAUCCUUCGGGUGCGUUAAUGGGCGUCGAGCGGCGGACGGGUGAGUAAUGCCUAGGAAAUUGCCUUGAUGUGGGGGAUAACCAUUGGAAACGAUGGCUAAUACCGCAUAAUGCCUACGGGCCAAAGAGGGGGACCUUCGGGCCUCUCGCGUCAAGAUAUGCCUAGGUGGGAUUAGCUAGUUGGUGAGGUAAUGGCUCACCAAGGCGACGAUCCCUAGCUGGUCUGAGAGGAUGAUCAGCCACACUGGAACUGAGACACGGUCCAGACUCCUACGGGAGGCAGCAGUGGGGAAUAUUGCACAAUGGGCGAAAGCCUGAUGCAGCCAUGCCGCGUGUAUGAAGAAGGCCUUCGGGUUGUAAAGUACUUUCAGUUGUGAGGAAGGGGGUAACGUUAAUAGCUCUAUCUCUUGACGUUAGCAACAGAAGAAGCACCGGCUAACUCCGUGCCAGCAGCCGCGGUAAUACGGAGGGUGCGAGCGUUAAUCGGAAUUACUGGGCGUUAAGCGCAUGCAGGUGGUUCAUUAAGUCAGAUGUGAAAGCCCCGGGCUCAACCUCGGAACUGCAUUUGAACUGGUGAACUAGAGUACUGUAGAGGGGGGUAGAAUUUCACGUGUAGC
This 654-nucleotide ribosomal RNA is filed under the name Vibrio sp. CCH-29. RNAcentral describes it as "bacterial SSU rRNA". It matches the Rfam family "Bacterial small subunit ribosomal RNA", at positions 45 to 679 of the family's 1533-position model. Lineage: Bacteria; Pseudomonadati; Pseudomonadota; Gammaproteobacteria; Vibrionales; Vibrionaceae. The record is from RNAcentral.